This 406-nucleotide ribosomal RNA is filed under the name uncultured bacterium. RNAcentral describes it as "partial 16S ribosomal RNA". It matches the Rfam family "Bacterial small subunit ribosomal RNA", at positions 30 to 527 of the family's 1533-position model. The record is from RNAcentral.
AUUGAACGCUGGCGGCAGGCCUAACACAUGCAAGUCGAACGAGUGGCGGACGGGUGAGUACUGUCUGGCAAACUGCCCGAUGGAGGGGGAUAACUACCGGAAACGGUAGCUAAUCCCGCAUACCAUCGGAUGUGCCCAGAUGGGAUUAGCUAGUGGGUGGGGGAACGGCCGACCUAGGCGACGAUCCCUAGCUGGUCUGAGAGGAUGACCAGCAACACUGGAACUGAGACACGGUCCAGACUCCUACGGGAGGCAGCAGUGGGGAAUAUUGCACAAUGGGCGCAAGCCUGAUGCAGCCAUGCCGCGUGUAUGAAGAAGGCCUUCGGGUUGUAAAGUACUUUCAGCGAGGAGGCGUUACUCGCAGAAGAAGCACCGGCUAACUCCGUGCCAGCCGCCGCGGUAAUUG